CGGCAGGCCUAAUACAUGCAAGUCAAGGGGAUAGCAAUAUCACCGGCGGACGGGUGCGUAACGCGUACACAACGUGCCCAAGGGCGGAGGAAAGCGGCGGGAAACUGCCGGUAAUACUCCAUGGUGUUGUUGAGUGGCAUCACUUAACAACUAAAGUACAAGCGCCCUUGGAUCGGUGUGCGUUCGAUUAGCUAGUUGGCGGGGUAACGGCCCACCAAGGCUUCGAUCGAUAGGGGGUGUGAGAGCAUGACCCCCCACACGGGUACUGAGACACGGACCCGACUCCUACGGGAGGCAGCAGUAAGGAAUAUUGGACAAUGGGCGGAAGCCUGAUCCAGCCAUGCCGCGUGAAGGACGAAGGCGCUCAGCGUUGUAAACUUCUUUUGGAUGGGAACAAUAACUCCGACUUGUCGGAACUUGAGGGUACCAUCAGAAUAAGCACCGGCUAACUCCGUG
RNAcentral lists this ribosomal RNA (456 nucleotides) under uncultured bacterium. RNAcentral describes it as "bacterial SSU rRNA". It matches the Rfam family "Bacterial small subunit ribosomal RNA", at positions 40 to 507 of the family's 1533-position model. The record is from RNAcentral.